RNAcentral lists this ribosomal RNA (489 nucleotides) under uncultured bacterium. RNAcentral describes it as "SSU rRNA". It matches the Rfam family "Bacterial small subunit ribosomal RNA", at positions 26 to 518 of the family's 1533-position model. The record is from RNAcentral.
AGAGCGAACGCUGGCGGCGUGCUUAACACAUGCAAGUCGAGUGCGCGGUAUAGCAAUAUACUGGCGCACGGCGCACGGGUGAGUAACACGUGGGUAACCUGCCCUCCAAAAGGGGAUAACCCCGCGAAAGCGGGGCUAAUACCGUAUGACAUUCCGAUGGUUUCGGCUGUUGGAAUCAAAGGCCGCAAGGCCGUUGGAGGAGGGGCCCGCGCCCGAUUAGCUUGUUGGCGAGGUAAUGGCUCACCAAGGCUUUGAUCGGUAGCCGGUCUGAGAGGAUGGCCGGCCACACUGGAACUGAGACACGGUCCAGACUCCUACGGGAGGCAGCAGUGGGGAAUCUUGCGCAAUGGGCGAAAGCCUGACGCAGCGACGCCGCGUGGGGGAUGAAGCUUCUCGGAGUGUAAACCCCUUUCGACCCGGACGAAACGCCCGCAAGGGCUUGACGGUACGGGUAUAAGAAGCCCCGGCUAACUACGUGCCAGCAGCCGC